This is a non-coding RNA of Bombyx mori (domestic silkworm), 84 nucleotides long. The record is from Rfam. Lineage: Eukaryota; Metazoa; Arthropoda; Insecta; Lepidoptera; Bombycidae.
UUAACUCAAAAAUGUAUGGAAUUGGAACGUUUGCCUACGUUUGCCGCUAGGGGCGCUGUUCCAACUGCAUACAUAUUUCAGUUA